This 204-nucleotide long non-coding RNA is filed under the name Nicotiana benthamiana. RNAcentral's name for it is "long non-coding RNA (NBEN_LNC000163)". The record is from RNAcentral. Lineage: Eukaryota; Viridiplantae; Streptophyta; Magnoliopsida; Solanales; Solanaceae.
UUAAGCAUUAGCACAACCUUUAUUCUAGCCUACCAUUUAUUUUUCGAUUGGAAACAAACUCUCUGCCCUUUCGGGCAGGAGUAAGGCCCGUCUACAUAUUACCCUCCCCAGACCCCACUGUGUGGGAUUAUACUGGGUUGUUGGAACUGCAGGUUAAAAGUGUGAAGGAAACUCUAGUUCAGGUUGGGAAGAAAACAACAGGUG